This 200-nucleotide ribosomal RNA is filed under the name uncultured bacterium. RNAcentral describes it as "partial 16S ribosomal RNA". It matches the Rfam family "Bacterial small subunit ribosomal RNA", at positions 8 to 223 of the family's 1533-position model. The record is from RNAcentral.
AGAGUUUGAUCCUGGCUCAGAAUCAACGCUGGCGCGCGCCUAACACAUGCAAGUCGAACGAGAAAGGGGAGCAAUCCCUAAGUACAGUGGCGUACGGGUGAGUAACACGUGGGUAAUCUACCUUUUGGUGUGGAAUAACCCUGGGAAACCGGGGCUAAUACCGCAUAAGCCCGAGAGGGGAAAGCAGCAAUGCGCCGGAA